AUGGGACAGAAUUCAGAGCAGAGAAUACAAUUAUCAUGGGACUGGGAGCGCUCCCGCCCUGGGCUCGCCGCCCCGCUGGCCGGGCGCAGCGGCGCGGGGAGGUGCCAGCCGGGCCUCGUCCCGGGCGUCGCCGGUGCCCUUCACCUUUGCCACGGCCCGGCGGCCACCCUCGCUUCCUGCAGGAGAGAGCUAAGCUUGUCUGCUGGGUACCUGCAGCUGGAGCGCAAAAGGAGAGAUUUCACCUCUUCUGGGAGUAGGAAGCUCUACUUUGACACCCAUGCCUUAGCGUGCUUGCUUGAAGACAAUGGGUUUACUACUCAACAAGCAGAAAUCAUUGUAUCUGCAUUGGUCAAGAUCAUGGAGGCCAACAUGGAUGUCGUCUACAAAGACAUGGUCACCAAGAUGCAGCAGGAGAUCACUCUUCAGCAAAUAAUGUCUCAGAUUGCUAAUGUGAAAAAGGAUAUGAUUAUUUUGGAGAAGAGUGAAUUUUCAGCCCUCAGAGCAGAAAAUGAGAAAAUAAAACUCGAACUACAUCAGUUAAAACAACAAGUAAUGGAUGAAAUGGUCAAAGUCCGAACAGAUACCAAGUUAGACUUCAAUCUAGAAAAGAGCAGAGUAAAAGAAUUGUAUUCAAUGAACGAAAAGAAGCUGCUGGAAUUAAGAACAGAAAUAAUGGCGUUGCAUGCCCAGCAAGAUCAGGCCCUCACUCAAACAGACAGGAAGAUAGAAACUGAGGUUGCAGGCCUCAAAACCAUGCUCGAGUCGCACAAGCUUGAUAAUAUUAAAUAUUUGGCAGGUUCUAUGUUUACGUGCCUAACAGUAGCUCUGGGAUUUUAUCGCCUGUGGAUGUAAUAAAGUAUCUAUUUAAAGAG
RNA transcript from Propithecus coquereli (Coquerel's sifaka), 872 nucleotides. It is a transcript of the gene named mitochondrial calcium uniporter regulator 1 pseudogene, with no coding region annotated. Lineage: Eukaryota; Metazoa; Chordata; Mammalia; Primates; Indriidae. The transcript is spliced from 2 exons. The record is from RefSeq and is a predicted model, not a curated record.